RNAcentral lists this transfer RNA (72 nucleotides) under Monodelphis domestica (gray short-tailed opossum). It matches the Rfam family "tRNA". From Rfam's summary of the family: Transfer RNA (tRNA) molecules are approximately 80 nucleotides in length. Lineage: Eukaryota; Metazoa; Chordata; Mammalia; Didelphimorphia; Didelphidae. The record is from Rfam by way of RNAcentral.
AAUAGAUUAGCUCAAUGGAAAGAGCAUUGGAUUUGGAAUCGAAGGACUUGGGUUUUAUUCCUAGACGUAUUU